GUCAUACUACGGCGCAUCGCCCUGAAAAGUAAACGAUGACCCAUAGUGAACUUCGGGGUAAAAUACGCAUCAAAUUAAAAAAUUGCUGCUGACCUGGGACAAUGCUUCCGGGUCAGUUUUCUU
This 123-nucleotide small RNA is filed under the name Yokenella regensburgei. Its description in RNAcentral is "Enterobacteria greA leader". It matches the Rfam family "Enterobacteria greA leader". Lineage: Bacteria; Pseudomonadati; Pseudomonadota; Gammaproteobacteria; Enterobacterales; Enterobacteriaceae. The record is from RNAcentral.